UCCAGACACCCAGCUCAGAACAGCAGCUCUUCCUCGCCCUCAGCCGAUCUUAGUCGCCGAAGAGUCGAGAGCAAGUGGCAUUGGUCUCGGCAUGAAGAUUCUCUCUCUGGGAACCUGUUGGAAGAUCCUCUACAAGACCUCUUGUAGAUGGUCUUCUGCUAGAUUGAGGUGAGAGUCCGUUAUGCGCCAAGUUGUUGAAUGUCUUAACCGUUCCUUCUUUUCUUCUCACAGAGCUGCUCUGACAAUUCCAACAGUUUUCUCUAGGAAUUUGUUUUGAGCCUUUUGGACAAGUCCUCUUCAAGAUAACAGAUUUCCUUGCGCAAGAGAAGGGGAUGAAAUACACUUCUGAACCAACUAGACAGUCGCAGUCUAUCACAAACACAUUUUCAGCACCUCUCCCACUGUGUGGGACUCAGUUGCUCUCGGUCAUCACCUGCAACAACUCUAUGAUACUGCUCUUCUUGAUUUCAUGUGUUUUCCAGUUUGUGGAAAGCUUAAUUCAAUCUUUAUUAAAAUAGAUACAACAUCGAAGGAUGGCUGAAGAAGACUCUUGGUGACAAAUUUUGAUGGUCUUUUUGAAAUACCUCAACCAGGGAUCCAUAAGUUUGCGGUUCCACCUUGACUUGGAGCCUUGAUCUGUUCUCAGACGUCCUUUAUUGUAAUCUGCAUGAUUUUGAACAGCAUUUUAAUGUCCAUGGACCAUUCUGUCUUGUCUUUUGUAACAGAUCCAGAACCUGGAUGAGUUUCUACUGACUUUACGACUUUGCCCAGGACACCAUUGUGCUUGAUCUAACCAUGCAGUUCCCUUUCUGUCCAUGGUUUUGCCAAGCACUUUGGAGACUUGUGUGCACUUUCUUUCAUGUUUUUCUUACUUUUUGUUCAUUUCCUCUGAGCUACACAAUUUAAAGAAUCAAACCUUGUGAAACUUGUCUGUUGAAGUGUAAUGUUCCUGUCCAAAACAAGAGUGUUUUAAAGAAUAAAAUCCCUUGUGUUGUUUUGUUUGUUGAGUGUGACAUAUCAGUAUAGCAAGAAAAAUUAAACGAGUGGAAAUGGUGA
Molecule: non-coding RNA, 1056 nt
Organism: Pimephales promelas (fathead minnow)
Lineage: Eukaryota; Metazoa; Chordata; Actinopteri; Cypriniformes; Leuciscidae
Source: RefSeq, a predicted model, not a curated record